This 24-nucleotide non-coding RNA is filed under the name Rattus norvegicus (Norway rat). The record is from RNAcentral. Lineage: Eukaryota; Metazoa; Chordata; Mammalia; Rodentia; Muridae.
GUGUUGGUUCGUGUUCACCUCCUC